Molecule: ribosomal RNA, 372 nt
Filed under: uncultured soil bacterium
Lineage: Bacteria
Description: bacterial SSU rRNA
Rfam family: Bacterial small subunit ribosomal RNA
Source: RNAcentral
AGAUUGAACGCUGGCGGCAUGCCCUACACAUGCAAGUCGAACGGCAGCACGGGAGCAAUCCUGGUGGCGAGUGGCGAACGGGUGAGUAAUAUAUCGGAACGUGCCCAGUCGUGGGGGAUAACGCAGCGAAAGCUGUGCUAAUACCGCAUACGAUCUAUGGAUGAAAGCGGGGGGUCGCAAGACCUCGCGCGAUUGGAGCGGCCGAUAUCAGAUUAGCUAGUUGGUGGGGUAAAAGCCGUACCAAGGCGACGAUCUGUAGCUGGUCUGAGAGGACGACCAGCCACACUGGAACUGAGACACGGUCCAGACUCCUAACGGGAGACAGCAGGUGGGGAAUUUUGGAACAAGUGGGCGCGAAGCCUAGGACUCCAG